AGUCGAGCGCGAAAAUUCCUUCGGGGAUGAGUAGAGCGGCGCACGGGUGAGUAACACGUGAAUAAUCUACCUAUUAGCCCGGGAUAACUGUUGGAAACGACAGCUAAUACCGGAUAAGCUCCCACUAUCCUUGGAUAGAGAGAGAAAAGGCGGCCUCUUCCUGAAAGCUGUCACUUAUAGAUGAGUUCGCGUCCCAUUAGUUAGUUGGUGAGGUAAUGGCUCACCAAGACUUCGAUGGGUAGCUGGUCUUAGAGGAUGAUCAGUCACAUGGACACUGAGACACGGGUCCAACUCCUACGGGAGGCAGCAGUGGGGAAUAUUGCACAAUGGAGGAAACUCUGAUGCAGCAACGCCGCGUGGGUGAAGAAGGGUUUCGGCUCGUAAAGCUCUGUCCUGGGGGACGAAAAAGCACGGUCAAUAUCCGUGUCAAUAGACGGUACCCCAGAAGAAAGCACCGGCUAACUCCGUGCCAGCAGCCGCGGUAAUACGGAGGGUGCAAGCGUUGUUCGGAAUUAUUGGGCGUAAAGCGAGUGCAGGCGGCCGCGUAUGUCUGGUGUGAAAGCCCUGAGCUUAACUCAGGAAGUGCACUGGAAACUGCGUAGCUUGAAUCUCGGAGAGGGUGGUAGAAUUCCUGGUGUAGAGGUGAAAUUCGUAGAUAUCAGGAGGAAUACCGGUGGCGAAGGCGACCACCUGGACGAUGAUUGACGCUGAGACUCGAAAGCGUGGGGAGCAAACAGGAUUAGAUACCCUGGUAGUCCACGCCGUAAACGAUGGAUACUAGUUGCUGCGGGAGAUGACACCUGCUGUGACGUAGCUAACGCGUUAAGUAUCCCGCCUGGGGAGUACGUCGGCAACGAUGAAACUCAAAGGAAUUGACGGGGGCCCGCACAAGCGGUGGAACAUGUGGUUUAAUUCGAC
RNAcentral lists this ribosomal RNA (918 nucleotides) under uncultured bacterium. RNAcentral describes it as "bacterial SSU rRNA". It matches the Rfam family "Bacterial small subunit ribosomal RNA", at positions 60 to 955 of the family's 1533-position model. The record is from RNAcentral.